AAGCUCGUAGUUGAAUUUCGAGACCGGCUUACUGGUCGUGCUAUUGUACGUACUGGUAUAAUCGGUUUCUCCUUUCUGACGAACUAUAAUGCCAUUAAUUUGGUGUUUUAGGGAAUCAGGACUGUUACUUUGAAAAAAUUAGAGUGUUUAAAGCAGGCUCACGCUUGAAUACAUUAGCAUGGAAUAACGGAAUAGGACGUUUGAUUCUAUUUUGUUAGUUUCUAGGAUCGACGUAAUGAUUAAUAGGGAUAGUUGGG
RNAcentral lists this ribosomal RNA (257 nucleotides) under uncultured Glomeromycotina. RNAcentral describes it as "partial 18S ribosomal RNA". It matches the Rfam family "Eukaryotic small subunit ribosomal RNA", at positions 624 to 886 of the family's 1831-position model. Lineage: Eukaryota; Fungi; Glomeromycota. The record is from RNAcentral.